Molecule: transfer RNA, 72 nt
Filed under: Trichobilharzia regenti
Lineage: Eukaryota; Metazoa; Platyhelminthes; Trematoda; Strigeidida; Schistosomatidae
Rfam family: tRNA
About the family: Transfer RNA (tRNA) molecules are approximately 80 nucleotides in length. Their secondary structure includes four short double-helical elements and three loops (D, anti-codon, and T loops).
Source: Rfam by way of RNAcentral
UACCGCGUGGACUAGAGGUUAGGAUUCCUGGCUCUCACCCAGGCGGCCCGGGUUCGACUCCCGGCGCGGGAG